RNAcentral lists this ribosomal RNA (436 nucleotides) under Cliona jullieni. RNAcentral describes it as "eukaryotic LSU rRNA". The record is from RNAcentral. Lineage: Eukaryota; Metazoa; Porifera; Demospongiae; Clionaida; Clionaidae.
GAGUCAAAAAGACCGCGAAACCGUUAGGAGGGAAACGAAUGCAGCUGAAGUGGCUCCGUAUCGGGUUCAGGGGACGUCGGAGGAUGUUCCGGGUUGCCGGUAGCCCUGGGCGCCGCGGCUCGGAGACGCCGACGACAACCCUGCACUCCCGUGUGGAGCCGGCCAACAGCAGUUGUUUCUGGCCCAGAAGGUCGGUCGGGAGGUGCCUCUGCACUCGUGCAGAGAACGUACAGCCGUUCGUCCGGUGGUCUGGGAGCGACUGAGGAGAGCCGUGAAUUUUCACGCGUGCAGCGCAGGCCCUUCGGGGCCGGGCCGCCUCUUUCCGUUUGGGCCCCGCGGUGGGGACUGCGUGCAGUGUCCGCUGACGGUUCGUCUGCUCGGUCGGGGGGUCGGUCACGCCUUGCGCUCAGGUUGUUGGUGCUAAAAUGGCUGCAUC